This 325-nucleotide RNase P RNA is filed under the name Actinomycetes bacterium. Its description in RNAcentral is "partial RNase P RNA component class A". It matches the Rfam family "Bacterial RNase P class A", at positions 43 to 367 of the family's 367-position model. Rfam says of the family: Ribonuclease P (RNase P) is a ubiquitous endoribonuclease, found in archaea, bacteria and eukarya as well as chloroplasts and mitochondria. The record is from RNAcentral. Lineage: Bacteria; Bacillati; Actinomycetota; Actinomycetes.
GAGGAAAGUCCGGACUCCACAGGGCAUGACGCUGGGUAACACCCAGGCGGGGCGACCCGAUGGACAGUGCAACAGAGAGCAGACUGCCGAUGGCGCGAACCCUCAUAGGGGACGCGCACAGGUGAUGGUGAAACGGUGAGGUAAGAGCUCACCAGCGAUCCGGGUGACCGGGUCGGCUAGGUAAACCCCGUCAGGAGCAAGACCGAGCAGGAACAGGGCUGCCCGUCCGUUACGUUCCGGGUAGGUUGCAUGAGGCCGUGCGGUAACGCCGGUCCCAGAUAGAUGAUCGUCCUCGACAGAAUCCGGCUUAUCGUCGACUCACGAG